RNAcentral lists this ribosomal RNA (1449 nucleotides) under Curtobacterium sp. ANA56. RNAcentral's name for it is "bacterial SSU rRNA". It matches the Rfam family "Bacterial small subunit ribosomal RNA". The record is from RNAcentral. Lineage: Bacteria; Bacillati; Actinomycetota; Actinomycetes; Micrococcales; Microbacteriaceae.
GAGAGUUUGAUCCUGGCUCAGGACGAACGCUGGCGGCGUGCUUAACACAUGCAAGUCGAACGAUGAAGCCCAGCUUGCUGGGUGGAUUAGUGGCGAACGGGUGAGUAACACGUGAGUAACCUGCCCCUGACUCUGGGAUAAGCGUUGGAAACGACGUCUAAUACUGGAUAUGACUUGGCUAUCGCAUGGCCUGGUGGUGGAAAGAUUUUUUGGUUGGGGAUGGACUCGCGGCCUAUCAGCUUGUUGGUGAGGUAAUGGCUCACCAAGGCGACGACGGGUAGCCGGCCUGAGAGGGUGACCGGCCACACUGGGACUGAGACACGGCCCAGACUCCUACGGGAGGCAGCAGUGGGGAAUAUUGCACAAUGGGCGAAAGCCUGAUGCAGCAACGCCGCGUGAGGGAUGACGGCCUUCGGGUUGUAAACCUCUUUUAGUAGGGAAGAAGCGAAAGUGACGGUACCUGCAGAAAAAGCACCGGCUAACUACGUGCCAGCAGCCGCGGUAAUACGUAGGGUGCAAGCGUUGUCCGGAAUUAUUGGGCGUAAAGAGCUCGUAGGCGGUUUGUCGCGUCUGCUGUGAAAUCCCGAGGCUCAACCUCGGGCUUGCAGUGGGUACGGGCAGACUAGAGUGCGGUAGGGGAGAUUGGAAUUCCUGGUGUAGCGGUGGAAUGCGCAGAUAUCAGGAGGAACACCGAUGGCGAAGGCAGAUCUCUGGGCCGUAACUGACGCUGAGGAGCGAAAGCGUGGGGAGCGAACAGGAUUAGAUACCCUGGUAGUCCACGCCGUAAACGUUGGGCGUUUGAUGUAGGGACCUUUCCACGGUUUCUGUGUCGUAGCUAACGCAUUAAGCGCCCCGCCUGGGGAGUACGGCCGCAAGGCUAAAACUCAAAGGAAUUGACGGGGGCCCGCACAAGCGGCGGAGCAUGCGGAUUAAUUCGAUGCAACGCGAAGAACCUUACCAAGGCUUGACAUACACCGGAAACGGCCAGAGAUGGUCGCCCCCUUGUGGUCGGUGUACAGGUGGUGCAUGGUUGUCGUCAGCUCGUGUCGUGAGAUGUUGGGUUAAGUCCCGCAACGAGCGCAACCCUCGUUCUAUGUUGCCAGCGCGUUAUGGCGGGGACUCAUAGGAGACUGCCGGGGUCAACUCGGAGGAAGGUGGGGAUGACGUCAAAUCAUCAUGCCCCUUAUGUCCUGGGCUUCACGCAUGCUACAAUGGCCGGUACAAAGGGCUGCGAUACCGUAAGGUGGAGCGAAUCCCAAAAAGCCGGUCUCAGUUCGGAUUGAGGUCUGCAACUCGACCUCAUGAAGUCGGAGUCGCUAGUAAUCGCAGAUCAGCAACGCUGCGGUGAAUACGUUCCCGGGCCUUGUACACACCGCCCGUCAAGUCAUGAAAGUCGGUAACACCCGAAGCCGGUGGCCUAACCCUUGUGGAAGGAGCCGUCGAAGGUGG